RNAcentral lists this ribosomal RNA (492 nucleotides) under uncultured bacterium. RNAcentral's name for it is "partial 16S ribosomal RNA". It matches the Rfam family "Bacterial small subunit ribosomal RNA", at positions 29 to 507 of the family's 1533-position model. The record is from RNAcentral.
AGUGAACGCUGGCGGUAGGCCUAACACAUGCAAGUCGAACGGCAGCACAGUAAGAGCUUGCUCUUACGGGUGGCGAGUGGCGGACGGGUGAGGAAUACAUCGGAAUCUACUUUUUCGUGGGGGAUAACGUAGGGAAACUUACGCUAAUACGGCAUACGACCUACGGGUGAAAGCAGGGGAUGUUCGGACCUUGCGCGAUUGAAUGAGCCGAUGUCGGAUUAGCUAGUUGGCGGGGUAAAGGCCAACCAAGGCGACGAUCCGUAGCUGGUCUGAGAGGAUGAUCAGCCACACUGGAACUGAGACACGGUCCAGACUACUACGGGAGGCAGCAGUGGGGAAUAUUGGACAAUGGUCGCAAGCCUGAUCCAGCCAUACCGCGUGGGUUAAGAAGGCCUUCGGGUUGUAAAGCCCUUUUGUUGGGAAAGAAAAGCAGCAGGUUAAUACCCCGCUGUUCUGACGGUACCCAAAGAAUAAGCACCGGCUAACUUCGUG